AUUGAACGCUGGCGGCAUGCUUUACACAUGCAAGUCGAACGGUAACAGGCCUUCGGGUGCUGACGAGUGGCGAACGGGUGAGUAAUGCAUCGGAACGUACCCAGAGGUGGGGGAUAACGCAGCGAAAGCUGUGCUAAUACCGCAUGUGAUCUGAGGAUGAAAGCGGGGGACCGAGCAGCAAUGUUUGGCCUCGCGCCUUUGGAGCGGCCGAUGUCGGAUUAGCUAGUUGGUGGGGUAAAGGCCUACCAAGGCGACGAUCCGUAGCUGGUCUGAGAGGACGGUCAGCGACACGGGGAGUGAGACACGGCCCAGACUCCUACGGGAGGCAGCAGUGGGGAAUGUUGGACAGUGGGCGGAAGCCUGAUCCAGCAAUGGCGCGUGCGGGAAGAAGGCCUUCGGGUUGUAAACAGGUUUUGGCAGGAACGAAACGGUGUCCGCUAAUACCGGGCGCUAAUGACGGUACCUGCAGAAUAAGCACCGGCUAACUACGUG
RNAcentral lists this ribosomal RNA (492 nucleotides) under uncultured bacterium. Its description in RNAcentral is "partial 16S ribosomal RNA". It matches the Rfam family "Bacterial small subunit ribosomal RNA", at positions 29 to 507 of the family's 1533-position model. The record is from RNAcentral.